CCUACGGGAGGCAGCAGUGAGGAAUAUUGGACAAUGGGCGCAAGCCUGAUCCAGCCAUGCCGCGUGCAGGAAGACUGCCCUAUGGGUUGUAAACUGCUUUUAUACAGGAAGAAUAAGCCUUACGUGUAAGGUGAUGACGGUACUGUAAGAAUAAGGACCGGCUAACUCCGUGCCAGCAGCCGCGGUAAUACGGAGGGUCCAAGCGUUAUCCGGAAUUAUUGGGUUUAAAGGGUCCGUAGGUGGAUGAUUAAGUCAGGGGUGAAAGUUUGCAGCUCAACUGUAAAAUUGCCUUUGAUACUGGUUAUCUUGAAUUGUAUUGAAGUAGGCGGAAUAUGUAGUGUAGCGGUGAAAUGCAUAGAUAUUACAUAGAACACCAAUUGCGAAGGCAGCUCACUAAGUACUAAUUGACACUGAUGGACGAAAGCGUGGGUAGCGAACAGGAUUAGAUACCCUGGUAGUCCACGCCGUAAACGAUGGAUACUAGCUGUUCGGAAGUUAAUUCUGAGCGGCCCAGCGAAAGUGAUAAGUAUCCCACCUGGGGAGUACGUUCGCAAGAAUGAAACUUAAAGGAAUUGACGGA
RNAcentral lists this ribosomal RNA (580 nucleotides) under uncultured bacterium. RNAcentral's name for it is "bacterial SSU rRNA". It matches the Rfam family "Bacterial small subunit ribosomal RNA", at positions 338 to 917 of the family's 1533-position model. The record is from RNAcentral.